Molecule: ribosomal RNA, 393 nt
Filed under: uncultured bacterium
Lineage: Bacteria
Description: partial 16S ribosomal RNA
Rfam family: Bacterial small subunit ribosomal RNA
Source: RNAcentral
AUACGGAAGGUCCGGGCGUUAUCCGGAUUUAUUGGGUUUAAAGGGAGCGUAGGCCGUGGAUUAAGUGUGUUGUGAAAUGUAGGCGCUCAACGUCUGACUUGCAGCGCAUACUGGUCCACUUGAGUGCGCACAACGCGGGCGGAAUUUGUCGUGUAGCGGUGAAAUGCUUAGAUAUGACGAAGAACCCCGAUUGCGAAGGCAGCUCGCGGGAGCGCAACUGACGCUGAAGCUCGAAAGUGCGGGUAUCGAACAGGAUUAGAUACCCUGGUAGUCCGCACGGUAAACGAUGGAUGCCCGCUUUUCGGUCAUUAGACCGUGAGGCCAAGUGAAAACAUUAAGCAUCCCACCUGGGGAGUACGCCGGCAACGGUGAAACUCAAAUGAAUUGACGGGG